RNAcentral lists this transfer RNA (91 nucleotides) under Actinoplanes palleronii. RNAcentral describes it as "tRNA-Ser". It matches the Rfam family "tRNA". From Rfam's summary of the family: Transfer RNA (tRNA) molecules are approximately 80 nucleotides in length. Their secondary structure includes four short double-helical elements and three loops (D, anti-codon, and T loops). Lineage: Bacteria; Bacillati; Actinomycetota; Actinomycetes; Micromonosporales; Micromonosporaceae. The record is from RNAcentral.
UGGAGACGCCAGCCGAUGGGCGCCGGCCGCCGCCUCGAAAGCGGUUGGGGGUAGUGAUAUCCCGUAUGGGUUCGAUUCCCAUCGUCUCCGU